GUUAAUUUCAAUCUUAUCUCAAUUUCAGUUCGGUUCAGUUAAUAAAUUUAGAGUCGAUUAACAAUUCACUUCGGUUAACCAAAUGCUCACCCUACUAGUUGAUUCCCCAUUUUGAAACUCCCUUAUUGAAGUUUGGCCAGCCAUUGUAUUGUAGUCAUAUGAGUUGUUAGAUAAAGAUUUACCUAUUGUUAUUUUGUCUUUUUUCCUUACCGGCAUUGCCUUUAGAGAUGUAAAAGUCGGGCUCCAACCACUAGAGGAAU
This 260-nucleotide unclassified non-coding RNA is filed under the name Hevea brasiliensis (rubber tree). Lineage: Eukaryota; Viridiplantae; Streptophyta; Magnoliopsida; Malpighiales; Euphorbiaceae. The record is from RNAcentral.